Molecule: long non-coding RNA, 1805 nt
Organism: Oxyura jamaicensis (ruddy duck)
Lineage: Eukaryota; Metazoa; Chordata; Aves; Anseriformes; Anatidae
Exons: 3
Source: RefSeq, a predicted model, not a curated record
GCACUCAGGAAAACAGAAGUCACCACCAUCUUGCUAACUCUUUGUGUGUGCAGAAGCCUGCACAGCUCAGUGCUGCCACUGCUGCUUCCACCAAAGGGGAAAAAUGGAGCAUGAGGAGAGCGGGUGCUACUGGGCAGGCCAGAGGAGGCUGCAGGGGCUGCCUCAAUCCCUCCCAUUCCCUGAGAGCAGCAGGAGCAGCAAUCCUCUCUUUGGUGCACCCUUCUGCAUUUGCACGUUUGCAAACCUGGUGAGUGCUUAACUGGUUUGAAGACUCAUAGCUGCUUGGAAUCUUCUGGAUGUUAGCAUUCUGCUGUGCCUAAUGACCAAAGGUUCUGCUUACUCUCAAAAAGGCAUAGUAGAAGACUAGCAGUCUGAAGCAGAUAAAAAAAACAAGAAUGAGCAAUAUGCUAGAAAGAUAAUUAUAUAAACAAUGAACAUUAGUGCACAACAACAUAAUCCAGUCCCAAGAUCCAAUGAAUAGCUGCAUGCUUCAAAGACUCUGGGAAUGUCAGGCAACAAAAAAGGACACUCCAGUCACCAUCCAGCAACCUUGAAUAUGGAUCUGUAAGUGUUUUUAUGUGUAUUCAUUUAAAAUAGCAUUAAUGAAUGGCAAUAGACCAAGCUAUGACUGAAUGUAGCAUUGCUCUUUACUGUUGACCUUUGAGCCUAAAUCGUACAAUCUCUUAAAUAUGUAACUUUACUAUGAAAAGGGAUAUGUUAUCUUGUUAACUUAUGGAUGUAACUGUGGAUAGAAUUUAAAUUUUAUAUUCCUUCUAUCUGAAGGGAAAAUGGCAUUUCUGCUGUUGCUGUUCCUAGUUUAUUUUAAAGCAUUUCUUCCUCAUAGUUGGCUCUGAAUAUGAAAAAGAGCAGAGGGAAGAAAAUGGUCUAAAAUUAAAAUAUGUGAAAAGGACAUUUCUAUGAACAGAAAUUCUCUGGAUAAAAACUUAGAGGUGAAAUACUAAAGGCUCUUCAGUAAAACAAUAUUCCAUGACAAACCUCAGAGCUGGAAGUGCCUUCUUCAGGUAAGGAUGUUCAGUCAGUCUGACUGUAUCUUCAGGAAACCACUGGUGGAAACCAAUCUUCAUUGCUUCGGGAAUGUGAAUUUCUCCUGUGGAGAAAUCUGCAGAAUCUAAGGUAAUGGCCUAAGGUAAUGCAUUUAGUUCAUCAACCAAUUUCUGCACAGUUAUCGUAUUAUGAAUGCAAUCACAAAGUGGGAGGUUCCCUUUUCUGUCUUAAUGGAUGCUAAAAUAGUAUUUCAUGGCCUAUAGGGGUACCAAAAAAAAAAAAAAAAAAAAAAAAGUUUAUCCAGUCUAGUUAGAUGAAUUGGCCACUUCCUUCCAUGAUUAUCAAUGCGUACGGCUUUAGACUUUUAGAUUUUCCAGUUGUGUAAAUGAUCUCAGUGUUUCAGACAGAGAAUGUCGUUGUUCCUCUGAGUAUAUGCAUGCAGAUGACUGUUAAUGUGUAUAUUAUAACUUCUUUGGUUUGGGUAGUUUUUAUGAAAUCUGCUCAUGUAAGAAAAUAAGAGCAUGUAUAAUAAUACCAUAAAAUAAAUAUACCCUUUAUCAUCGUACAAUGAAAGCUUUAAAAUUAAAGCAUUAUGCAAAGUUUGAGAUAGCAUAAACCAUGUUUCAGGAAAAUAUCUGUUAUGCUCAUAGGAAAAUAUUAACUGUCCAAAAUUCUUCAUUGAUUUCUGCUGUAUGUGUACACUUUUAUUCCUUUAUUAGGAUUUCCAUUCUUCUUUAUAAUAUAUAUGUAUUAUUUUAUUAUGGGUAUUACUUGGGACUAAUACUAUGGAGAAAUGUUUU